AGUAACGCGUGGGAAUAUGCCCUUCUCUAAGGAAUAGCCUCUGGAAACGGAGAGUAAUACCUUAUACGCCCUUUGGGGGAAAGAUUUAUCGGAGAAGGAUUAGCCCGCGUUAGAUUAGGUAGUUGGUGGGGUAAUGGCCUACCAAGCCUACGAUCUAUAGCUGGUUUGAGAGGAUGAUCAGCCACACUGGGACUGAGACACGGCCCAGACUCCUACGGGAGGCAGCAGUAGGGAAUCUUAGACAAUGGGGGCAACCCUGAUCUAGCCAUGCCGCGUGUGUGAUGAAGGCCCUAGGGUCGUAAAGCACUUUCGCCAGAGAUGAUAAUGACAGUAUCUGGUAAAGAAACCCCGGCUAACUCCGUGCCAGCAGCCGCGGUAAUACGGAGGGGGUUAGCGUUGUUCGGAAUUACUGGGCGUAAAGCGCACGUAGGCGGAUUAGUAAGUUAGAGGUGAAAUCCCAGGGCUCAACCCUGGAACUGCCUUUAAUACUGCUAGUCUUGAGUUCGAGAGAGGUAAGUGGAAUUCCGAGUGUAGAGGUGAAAUUCGUAGAUAUUCGGAGGAACACCAGUGGCGAAGGCGGCUUACUGGCUCGAUACUGACGCUGAGGUGCGAAAGUGUGGGGAGCAAACAGGAUUAGAUACCCUGGUAGUCCACACCGUAAACGAUGAAUGCCAGACGUCAGCAAGUAUACUUGUUUGGUGUC
Molecule: ribosomal RNA, 703 nt
Filed under: uncultured Paracoccaceae bacterium
Lineage: Bacteria; Pseudomonadati; Pseudomonadota; Alphaproteobacteria; Rhodobacterales; Paracoccaceae
Description: bacterial SSU rRNA
Rfam family: Bacterial small subunit ribosomal RNA
Source: RNAcentral